This 722-nucleotide ribosomal RNA is filed under the name uncultured Fusobacterium sp. Its description in RNAcentral is "bacterial SSU rRNA". It matches the Rfam family "Bacterial small subunit ribosomal RNA", at positions 28 to 776 of the family's 1533-position model. Lineage: Bacteria; Fusobacteriati; Fusobacteriota; Fusobacteriia; Fusobacteriales; Fusobacteriaceae. The record is from RNAcentral.
GAUGAACGCUGACAGAAUGCUUAACACAUGCAAGUCAACUUGAACUUCGGUUUGGGUGGCGGACGGGUGAGUAACGCGUAAAGAACUUGCCUCACAGAUAGGGACAACAUUUGGAAACGAAUGCUAAUACCUGAUAUUAUGAUUUUAGGGCAUCCUAGGAUUAUGAAAGCUAUAUGCGCUGUGAGAGAGCUUUGCGUCCCAUUAGCUAGUUGGAGAGGUAACGGCUCACCAAGGCGAUGAUGGGUAGCCGGCCUGAGAGGGUGAUCGGCCACAAGGGGACUGAGACACGGCCCUUACUCCUACGGGAGGCAGCAGUGGGGAAUAUUGGACAAUGGACCAAGAGUCUGAUCCAGCAAUUCUGUGUGCACGAUGAAGUUUUUCGGAAUGUAAAGUGCUUUCAGUUGGGAAGAAAAAAAUGACGGUACCAACAGAAGAAGUGACGGCUAAAUACGUGCCAGCAGCCGCGGUAAUACGUAUGUCACAAGCGUUAUCCGGAUUUAUUGGGCGUAAAGCGCGUCUAGGUGGUUAUGUAAGUCUGAUGUGAAAAUGCAGGGCUCAACUCUGUAUUGCGUUGGAAACUGUGUAACUAGAGUACUGGAGAGGUAAGCGGAACUACAAGUGUAGAGGUGAAAUUCGUAGAUAUUUGUAGGAAUGCCGAUGGGGAAGCCAGCUUACUGGACAGAUACUGACGCUGAAGCGCGAAAGCGUGGGUAGCAAACAGG